AUACGGAGGAUCCGAGCGUUAUCCGGAUUUAUUGGGUUUAAAGGGAGCGUAGGAGGGAUAUUAAGUCAGCUGUGAAAGUUUGGGGCUCAACCUUAAAAUUGCAGUUGAUACUGGUUUCCUUGAGUACGGUACAGGUGGGCGGAAUUCGUGGUGGAGCGGUGAAGUGCUUAGAUAUCACGAAGAACUCCGAUCGCGAAGGCAGCUCACCGGGCCGGAACUGACACUGAUGCUCGAAAGUGCGGGUAUCAAACAGGAUUAGAUACCCUGGUAGUCCACACAGUAAACGAUGAAUACUCGCUGUUUGCGAUAUACAAUAAGCGGCCAAGCGAAAGCGUUAAGUAUUCCACCUGGGGAGUACGCCGGCAACGGUGAAACUCAAAUGAAUUGGCGGGG
RNAcentral lists this ribosomal RNA (393 nucleotides) under uncultured bacterium. RNAcentral's name for it is "partial 16S ribosomal RNA". It matches the Rfam family "Bacterial small subunit ribosomal RNA", at positions 523 to 918 of the family's 1533-position model. The record is from RNAcentral.